RNAcentral lists this ribosomal RNA (424 nucleotides) under uncultured bacterium. Its description in RNAcentral is "bacterial SSU rRNA". It matches the Rfam family "Bacterial small subunit ribosomal RNA", at positions 335 to 751 of the family's 1533-position model. The record is from RNAcentral.
ACUCCUACGGGAGGCAGCAGUGGGGAAUAUUGCACAAUGGGCGCAAGCCUGAUGCAGCCAUGCCGCGUGUAUGAAGAAGGCCUUCGGGUUGUAAAGUACUUUCAGCAGUGAGGAAGGCGGAGUCGUUAAUAGCGGCCUCGUUUGACGUUAGCUGCAGAAGAAGCACCGGCUAACUCCGUGCCAGCAGCCGCGGUAAUACGGAGGGUGCGAGCGUUAAUCGGAAUUACUGGGCGUAAAGCGCAUGCAGGUGGUUCGUUAAGUCAGAUGUGAAAGCCCGGGGCUCAACCUCGGAAUUGCAUUUGAAACUGGCAGACUAGAGUACUGUAGAGGGGGGUAGAAUUUCAGGUGUAGCGGUGAAAUGCGUAGAGAUCUGAAGGAAUACCGGUGGCGAAGGCGGCCCCCUGGACAGAUACUGACACUCAGA